This 486-nucleotide ribosomal RNA is filed under the name uncultured bacterium. RNAcentral's name for it is "partial 16S ribosomal RNA". It matches the Rfam family "Bacterial small subunit ribosomal RNA", at positions 30 to 507 of the family's 1533-position model. The record is from RNAcentral.
AUUGAACGCUGGCGGCAUGCCUUACACAUGCAAGUCGAACGGCAGCACGGGUGCUUGCACCUGGUGGCGAGUGGCGAACGGGUGAGUAAUACAUCGGAACAUGUCCUGUAGUGGGGGAUAGCCCGGCGAAAGCCGGAUUAAUACCGCAUACGAUCCACGGAUGAAAGCGGGGGACCUUCGGGCCUCGCGCUAUAGGGUUGGCCGAUGGCUGAUUAGCUAGUUGGUGGGGUAAAGGCCUACCAAGGCGACGAUCAGAAGCUGGUCUGAGAGGACGACCAGCCACACUGGGACUGAGACACGGCCCAGACUCCUACGGGAGGCAGCAGUGGGGAAUUUUGGACAAUGGGCGAAAGCCUGAUCCAGCAAUGCCGCGUGUGUGAAGAAGGCCUUCGGGUUGUAAAGCACUUUUGUCCGGAAAGAAAUCCUUGACUCUAAUACAGUCGGGGGAUGACGGUACCGGAAGAAUAAGCACCGGCUAACUACGUG